RNAcentral lists this ribosomal RNA (403 nucleotides) under uncultured bacterium. RNAcentral's name for it is "partial 16S ribosomal RNA". It matches the Rfam family "Bacterial small subunit ribosomal RNA", at positions 28 to 526 of the family's 1533-position model. The record is from RNAcentral.
GACGAACGCUGGCGGCGUGCCUAAUACAUGCAAGUCGAACGCAGUGGGGACGGGUGAGUAACACGUGGGUAACCUCCCAUCAGAGGGGAUAACACUUGGAAACAGGUGCUAAACCGAUACUGAUUGAUGGACCCGCGGGGGAUUAGCUAGUUCGUGUGGUAACGGCGCACCAAGGCCACGAUGCAUAGCGGGCCUGAGAGGGUGACCAGCCACACUGGGACUGAGACACGGUCCAGACUCCUACGGGAGGCAGCAGUAGGGAAUCGUGCGCAAUGGGAGCAAGUCUGACGGAGCAACGCCGCGUGAGUGAAGAAGGUUUUCGGGUCGUAAAACACUUUUGUCAGAGAAGCGUUAUCUAACCAGAAAGCCACGGCUAACUACGUGCCAGCAGCCGCGGUAAUUC